AGAGCAUCUGCCUUACAAGCAGGAGGUCACAGGUUCGAGCCCUGUCGCGCCCA
This 53-nucleotide transfer RNA is filed under the name Caldisalinibacter kiritimatiensis. It matches the Rfam family "tRNA", at positions 20 to 71 of the family's 71-position model. Rfam says of the family: Transfer RNA (tRNA) molecules are approximately 80 nucleotides in length. Lineage: Bacteria; Bacillati; Bacillota; Tissierellia; Tissierellales; Thermohalobacteraceae. The record is from Rfam by way of RNAcentral.